GCCGGAAUAGCUCAGUUGGUAAAGCAGA
RNAcentral lists this transfer RNA (28 nucleotides) under Leptoscyphus infuscatus. Its description in RNAcentral is "partial tRNA-Phe". Lineage: Eukaryota; Viridiplantae; Streptophyta; Jungermanniopsida; Jungermanniales; Lophocoleaceae. The record is from RNAcentral.